CCACUUGGUAUUUAAGUACAAAUAUCGACUACCAAACCUUUUUUGUAUCCAUUUAUCCACUCUCCUCAAAAAGUCUCUCUUUCACAUUGAUCUCGUGUUCCUUUAUCAUCAUCAGCUGCCAUAAACAAACAGAGUUUCUCAUUUCGGACAUCAGCUAAAAAAAAUGAAGUUUGAAGGAUCGCAAACACUCUUACCCGUGAGGAAACCUGUAAAUGGAGGUUGUCUCACUCUCAGCCGCGAUCGCAAACGUGCUGGUUAUAAGCUUUGGGUUCUAGUCGCAGUUCUACUCUUGGCCUUUGGUUCUAUGUUAACCGGUUCCGUC
Molecule: long non-coding RNA, 322 nt
Filed under: Capsella rubella
Lineage: Eukaryota; Viridiplantae; Streptophyta; Magnoliopsida; Brassicales; Brassicaceae
Description: long non-coding RNA (CRUB_LNC004702)
Source: RNAcentral